UACAGAGGUCCCGAGCGUUGUUCGGAUUCAUUGGGCGUAAGGGGUGCGUAGGCGGUCUGCUAAGUUUGGUGUGAAAUCCCGGGGCUCAACCCUGGAAUGGCAUUGAAUACUGGCGGACUAGAGUACCGGAGAGGAAACUGGAAUUUACGGUGUAGCAGUGAAAUGCGUAGAGAUCGUAAGGAAGACCAGUGGCGAAGGCGAGUUUCUGGACGGUAACUGACGCUGAGGCACGAAGGCCAGGGGAGCAAACGGG
Molecule: ribosomal RNA, 253 nt
Filed under: uncultured bacterium
Lineage: Bacteria
Description: partial 16S ribosomal RNA
Rfam family: Bacterial small subunit ribosomal RNA
Source: RNAcentral